CCUACGGGAGGCAGCAGUGGGGAAUAUUGCACAAUGGGGGAAACCCUGAUGCAGCGACGCCGCGUGAGUGAAGAAGUAAUUCGUUACGUAAAGCUCUAUCAGCAGGGAAGAAAGUGACGGUACCUGAGUAAGAAGCCCCGGCUAACUACGUGCCAGCAACCGCGGUAAUACGUAGGGGGCAAGCGUUCUCCGGAUUUACUGGGUGUAAAGGGAGCGUAGACGGUGCGCCGAGUCUGGAGUGAAAUGCCGCAGGUUAACUGCGGAACUGCUUUUGAAACUGGCGAACUAGAGUGCUGGAGGGGGAAGUGGAAUUCCGAGUGUAGCGGUGAAAUGCGUAGAUAUUAGGAGGAACACCGGUGGCGAAGGCGGCUUACUGGACCGUAACUGACGCUGAGGCUCGAAAGCGUGGGGAGCAAACAGGAUUAGAUACCCCGGUAGUC
This 440-nucleotide ribosomal RNA is filed under the name uncultured bacterium. RNAcentral describes it as "partial 16S ribosomal RNA". It matches the Rfam family "Bacterial small subunit ribosomal RNA", at positions 338 to 795 of the family's 1533-position model. The record is from RNAcentral.